CCCAUGUGGACCAUCCUUGCAGUUCUGGAACAGUGGAGAGAUGUUUCUUCUGCACAGUAUUUAAACAUACUGGGUGGCCAUGUCACAUCCAGCAUUUGCCCAUGGAAUUCUAUCUCAGCUGGGUUCCACCUGGUGGUGGAAUGAGAGCAUAGGCAACACAUAAAAUCACACAUGCAGAGGGAGUCCUGGUAGGUACCAACUCAUCACCUCUGGCCAAUGCCACUGUAAGGGCACUCAUUGUGACAAAGACCUGAUGUAAUUUCUUUAUGCCAUCAUCAUUUUUGCUUAUGUCAUGUGCAAUAAGGCCUCUACGCUCAGCAGUGUCACAAAGGAAACCUGGUUACUAGCAUCCAACUGUGGUUUCAUCUCUAUCAAGCUACCCCAAAGAGAAGCACUUAUGUACAUACAUUUCAAAUCAAUGCUUCUGUUUGAGGAAACUUUACAGAAGAACUCUUUUUGACUGAGAAAUAAUGUGCAGAGAUAACUUUCUGUCUGUCCCAGGAAUCCAGACCAACACCCCAACUUGAUAGCACUUUCUUUUACAUUUUAUGAGAGAGAUACUCGAGUUGAGGUAUCAGUCUGUCUCUGUUUUUUUCCCAAGUAGAUUCUGUUGAGUUUUCCUACACUUACAGAUGUAUAUCUGACACAAAGACAGGACAAGUGCUGGUCACUUCUGAGACUACCCCAAAGAGAAGCACUUUUCAUUGUAUUGGAGAAACAGUGCUACCAUUUGAAGUGAUCUCAGUGUGUUAUUUUCUGAUACUGUAUGUAGUGAAAUGUGAAGAGGGUCCCAGAUGAAAAUGUCACUGAAACUACCCCAACAAAUAGCACUUGCCAAAUAUUCAACACAGGUCAGUGCCAUUGUUAGAGUAAUGAAUGUGACUCAGCUCUGUUGCAGGUCCUUUGGGUCAUCAUCGCUUUCCCUCAGAUCAGCUGUCUACUACAUAUCCAAAGAUGUGGCACAGGGGUCCAAGUCCAUUUUCUCUACCUGCCCUCCAGGUACCAACCCAUGUGGACCAUCCUUGCAGCUCUGGAACAGUGGAGAGAUGUUUCUUCUGCACAGUAUUUAAACAUACUGGGUGGCCAUGUCACAUCCAGCAUUUGCCCAUGGAAUUCUAUCUCAGCUGGGUUCCACCUGGUGGUGGAAUGAGAGCAUAGGCAACACAUAAAAUCACACAUGCAGAAGG
This is a long non-coding RNA of Alosa alosa (allis shad), 1187 nucleotides long. RefSeq lists it as uncharacterized. The transcript has 3 exons. The record is from RefSeq and is a predicted model, not a curated record. NCBI's taxonomy places the organism in Eukaryota, Metazoa, Chordata, Actinopteri, Clupeiformes, Clupeidae.